Molecule: long non-coding RNA, 1647 nt
Organism: Mastomys coucha (southern multimammate mouse)
Lineage: Eukaryota; Metazoa; Chordata; Mammalia; Rodentia; Muridae
Exons: 3
Source: RefSeq, a predicted model, not a curated record
GGACAACUCAGAGUCCAGCAAGGAGGGCUGGGAUUCACAGUGAGCAUGUGUGUUUGCCCAGGUUGGAGCUGUUUUCUGGGAUGGACACUACCUGGAAUUCAUCACGAUCACCGUGGGCAUGUACCUUUGGGUGUGUACAUGUAGAUGCUUCCAGAAAAGCAACACUGAGGAGGGAAGCUUCACUGGAAUAUGGGUGCUACCUCAGCACUGGCUAGGGCUGUGAGUGAAUGAAAAGCAGAAAGCAAGCAUCUGUCUCCCUCUGCUUCUCGACUGUGGACUCAGUGUGACCAGCCAUGUCAUGUUUCACCCGCCAUGACCUCCUCACCACAGAGUGCUGUAUUCUCAAACUGGGAGCCGAGAUAAAGGAUUUCGAGAGGACAUUAAAAACAGGUCAUCUACAGAUUAAGAAAUGGAAUUUAAAAGCUGAUACCAGAAAUUGAUCAUUUACCAAGUAUUUAUCAAGCACAGCCUUUUGCCAGGUUCUAUGUUAAGGAUUGGGAAUGGUAUGAAAGGCUACCAGUUUGACUAUCUGAAGGAAUUUACAGUCCCACAGUGUGAUAAUUAUCAUGAAAGUGUGUGCAUGUAAGAAACAGAAAGGUUGGCCACGCACAGACCCAGAAAAAACAGUCCUAGACUUCCUUAUUAUAGGUGGAGCUAUCAGAGCUGAUGAGUGACCUUGAGUUCAGGAAAUGUAACAGGCAAGGGUCUCCAUCUAAGAACCCACCAAGUCCAGCCUUGCUUAGCUUCUGAGAUCCAACAGAAUAUGUGUCAGAAGGAAGAGGCAAGAACACCUUCUGUUGCAAAAAUAUGAACAAAUAAGACUCUUAACUAGAAGACAAAUCAGCUGCUCUUCCUUCCGUCUUUUCUUGGGAAAGAAAACUGUAUUUCUUUCUGCAGACUCUUUCUUCUAUCACUUCUGCACAGCAAAAUGAAAGAUAUUUUUUCCCAAUCUGGAGUCUAGAAUUGGUCUUUUCGACAGAAGGGGGGUUACUGUCCCCAUACCCCAAAUAGGCUUGAUAUGAGUGGAAAAAAUCUGGCUUGGUACAUAUGUCCAUGUACCUUCUUAGUUCAGCCCAGCAAAGCAAAAGGCCAGGUGGUUUAAACUAAAGCUUCAACUGUGGGUUAUAAACUUAUAUAGUGCUUUGUCACUGACUGUGGAGAUGGUACAAAAAAUACUGGCAACAACAAAAGGUUUCAGGACCUUCAAAGACCAACGAUUAAUCCUAAAUCAAACAUUUAAAUGAGUCCAAUGUGUUUCUAGCAGUGCCCGUCCUACUGGGAUGCACAGAUUCUCAGUGGCCUUGAUUUUGAACACAGGACAGGCACACUCCAUACUGUGCAUGCCCUGAAGCCAGAGAAUGCAAAAUCACAGUGCAAGGAUAUCUCAGCACAGGUUAGAGACUGUUUUAUGCUAAGAAUGUCAGUGUUUCUGCCUUACACACAAAGUUUUCUGCUCUUGUAGGAACAAUGACCUAAUUACAGAAACAAGAGUCUUAAAAAAUAUAUGUUUUCUACCAUCAUUCUGGAUUAGUAUCUUCAAGACAAGCAAAUCCUUGAAGCAAGACACAGAUUUGAUUUCAUUUUUAACAAAUGCUAAAGUUAAAUUUAUACAAAAGAAUUGCUUUAAAUUUGUGAUUUAUUAACAAU